Molecule: long non-coding RNA, 888 nt
Organism: Vigna unguiculata (cowpea)
Lineage: Eukaryota; Viridiplantae; Streptophyta; Magnoliopsida; Fabales; Fabaceae
Source: RefSeq, a predicted model, not a curated record
CUGUGGUGCAAACAUUUGUAUGGACAGUGGCAACGGUGCAUUGCUUUUACCUUCAAAGCCAAAGUAUUCGUAUUGGCUGUAACAACGAAAUUAGGUUUGUUUCUCUAAGAUACCUAAUUUAUCAGAAAAGAAGGGUGAAGAAGAAGAGCAGAAACAAUAGUUUGGAGAGGGUGUUCUUCAGGUAUGGGGGGAAUGUCGAAGAGGUGGCACAGUUGGCUGAUUGAACAUGUUCGAAGUAUCGAGACUUUUGCAACCGUAGUUUUUUACGGAAACGAUGAGACAAACAGUAUAAUCUCUUAUAUCGUAUUGUCAAGGAAUUUGAAAACCUUAUUAAGAAAUCAUAUCAGGAGCGUGAAGUACUUUUUUCGGGGAAACUUGGAAAGGAAAGUUGCUCAAAUGCAAAUGAUGUCACUGAGGUUUUCAACAAAGAUCAUGGUGGUGAUAAUGUUGGUGCCAUGCUUCAAGGAGAAAUAGAAAGGUGCCCAAAUGUUGGUAUGAACCUAGAGUGCAAAACAAAAUUGAGGAGGAGGUUCUUUUACCACGUGGCAUUGAGUUAAAAGAAAUAUUUGGCAUGGAGUUACCACCUAAAGACGUUGUGAAUGGAUUGCAGUUUUUAGAGCUUUGUAGAGUGUUUGGAAAGGCUCUUAGAUCUCAAGAAAAGAGAAGCUGAAGCCAUUUUGAAGCUGCAACUAAGGAAAAGGUAAAGUGUCUUGUCUUGUGCUGGUUCGUUUAUAGUCCUGCAGAGAAGGAUGAGGUUGUGGUGGCCGUUCCACAUUUGUUUUUGGAUACAAGGGACCUUAAUUAUUUGGAUCAUUGUAUAUAAUUUUUUUUGUAUUUUAUUUUAGUGGAAUACGAAAUGAAUAUAUAUAUAUAUAUAUAUAUAUAUUU